AGAGUUUGAUCCUGGCUCAGGACGAACGCUGGCGGCGUGCCUAAUACAUGCAAGUCGAACGAGAAUUGCUUACACCGAGUGCUUGCACUCACCGUAAGGAAUUCGAGUGGCGGACGGGUGAGUAACACGUGGGUAACCUGCCUAUCAGAGGGGGAUAACACUUGGAAACAGGUGCUAAUACCGCAUAAUAUUGAAAAGCGCAUGCUUUUCAAUUAAAAGGCGCUUCUGGUGUCACUGAUAGAUGGACCCGCGGCGUAUUAGCUAGUUGGUGAGGUAACGGCCUACCAAGGCAAUGAUACGUAGCCGAGUUGAGAGACUGAUCGGCCACAAUGGGACUGAGACACGGCCCAUACUCCUACGGGAGGCAGCAGUAGGGAAUCUUCCACAAUGGGCGCAAGCCUGAUGGAGCAACGCCGCGUGCGUGAAGAAGGUCUUCGGAUCGUAAAGCGCUGUUGUUAGAGAAGAACACGGAUAAGAGUAACUGUUUAUGCGUUGACGGUAUCUAACCAGAAAGUCACGGCUAACUACGUGCCAGCAGCCGCGGUAAUACGUAGGUGGCAAGCGUUGUCCGGAUUUAUUGGGCGUAAAGGGAACGCAGGCUGUCUUUUAAGUCCGAUGUGAAAGCCUUCGGCUUAACCGAAGAAGUGCAUUGGAAACUGGGAGACUUGAGUGCAGAAGAGGAGAGUGGAACUCCAUGUGUAGCGGUGAAAUGCGUAGAUAUAUGGAAGAACACCAGUGGCGAAAGCGGCUCUCUGGUCUGUAACUGACGCUGAGGUUCGAAAGCAUGGGUAGCGAACAGGAUUAGAUACCCUGGUAGUC
RNAcentral lists this ribosomal RNA (819 nucleotides) under uncultured bacterium. RNAcentral describes it as "bacterial SSU rRNA". It matches the Rfam family "Bacterial small subunit ribosomal RNA", at positions 8 to 795 of the family's 1533-position model. The record is from RNAcentral.